Molecule: transfer RNA, 73 nt
Filed under: Beryx decadactylus (alfonsino)
Lineage: Eukaryota; Metazoa; Chordata; Actinopteri; Beryciformes; Berycidae
Description: tRNA-Val
Rfam family: tRNA
About the family: Transfer RNA (tRNA) molecules are approximately 80 nucleotides in length.
Source: RNAcentral
CAGAGUAUAGCUAAACACAGGAAAGCGCCUCCCUUACACCGAGAAGACAUCCGUGCAAACCGGAUUACCCUGA